UAUGUUAAUUUCCCUAUUAGUCGAAAAAAAUACAAUUCUAUAAUUUUUCGGAAGAACGAUGGGGCAUUGUAACCGUCGGUUACGAUGAGCAAUUGAUGGCUCCGCCACAAUAAAUAUCAAUCCUUGAGCGGUUCAAUAUUUUGCCCUCCCAGCAUGCAAAUCCAACUCUGCCUUUUCCUGCUACGAGCUCCACUGCCACCCAAAUGGUACCCACAUCAUUUCACAGUACUUAUUUACAGCGGUACCUGUCUCAUUUGGCUGCCGCUACACGCCACGGGUAGAGUAGCCAGUAAAAGGGUUAGCAAACGGAUAUAGCCGAGCUGUCAAACUUCGGAGGUGUUCGGUUCAUCUCCGGUGCCGACUUACGAAUACGUCACCGUUUUAGGCUCAGCUCCAGGCCCUGAUCCUUCUUUCUGCUCUGACAAUCAAAGGAAUAAGAAGUGCGCGCGGUGUUCUUAAUUUUCCAAAGUAAUUUUUGUUAAGUGUUAAAAGUGAUGCAGGUUAAUUGAUUUAAUGCUUUUUUAUAGUUACAGUUAGUAAAAGUCCAAACACAAAAGGACUGAUUAAUGGACUAGAGUAAUAGAGUUUAAAAGUGGUACGCAAAGUAAAAUAACGGUGAGAAGACGGUUCACAGACAAAUUAAAAUACCGGAAAAAAAAGGUCCCCAGAGGACCUUUUAUUCUUGGAUCCAGAUUGUCAUCUGGAACCUAUUCCUUCGCAGAACGGGACCAAGAACAGGAACGGAAACUACCGCCAACAUACGGCUCUCUGUCCGUCGCCACGUGCCGAGACCCCCCGGAAACAAUCCCGGCAGCCACCACGCCAUUCUUCUGCCUGCCGGCAACCCUGAAAACCGGCAACCACAAGCCGCAGGUCGAAUCGACUCCCGAGAGCAGAAAAUACCACUGUCCGGGCGAAGGACGCACGCCAUACACGCUCCGACGGCUAACCGUUGGACCAGAGUCCCAGUUAUAACCGACGCACCGCCACUGCCGCCAUACACAGCCAUUGUCACCGUAAACCACCAACAUGUCACCCAGUCGACGAUCCGGCCAUCUUCCGUCUACACCCGUAAAACCAAACCGCAAGUAGCAAGUGACGUCACUUAGAAUUAGGUUAUUUAUAAGUAAUAAAUAGAGUUAAGAUGUUUAAUGAUGAAGAUUAGUGAUAUUGUAACUUAACUGAGCCUUGGUUUAGUGAACUUGCAUCACGUUUCGAUUUUGCUCGAAUUUCGGACUCAAAAGGAGUCGCCAGCCCUCGUCGUUGGUUGUCGUCCAGUAAGUCUUAUCAGGUCGUAGCUUUUGAGCAUCCCCUACGUAAGUACACCCGUUUGCUGGUCCUCGUCUGGUUGCAUUGUCUGUGAUAUUACCGAAGGCAAAUGGGUCACCCUCUAAAUGAGUGCAUAUGAUGGUGGGUGACAUUUAUAUUCACCACCGACAAGCAUAAUUUCUCCUACCCUGAGCAGCUCGAGGUAACAAGAGGUGACUCCACUAUCUGGACUAGAUAUCGACCCAUCAACUCAUGACCGGCGACCAACGGCUUUAUUUCCCUUCCGAAGGAAAGCGUCACCACAGAUUUUUUUCACAUCAGAAAAAUCUCAACGACCUUGGCCGGGAUUGAACCCAGACCAACUGGGGCGAGGAAAAAUGGUUUCUUCGCAAAGGGACCGUACACAAAUGAUGCAGCUAUUUUCGACCCCUCCCUCCCCCUUCGUAGCACUUGGUCACAAAAUAGAAACCUCCCCCUUGUAUAUAACGUAGCUUUUACCAACGCCCCACCACCCCACAGCCGGCAUGGUGAUGAACAAAGUUAAAUCUUGAGCGUUUUUUCCUGUUACCUGUUACAUGUGUAUAAUUUAGGUCAAAAAAGUUACAUGUUUUAAUGCUAACAGGUGGAGAAUCUCAAAAUCACAAAUCCAGUGCAUUGCAUUGUUUAGUUUGCUUAAGGCAGCUUUAAAGGAAGAAAUGGUUGGUUUCAUUUUAAUCGAGAGCGGGAGGGCAUCCUACAGAGAUGCGUUGUAUAUCAGCACGCUCUUCCGCAUAACGCUGGUGUGUGGUGGAUUAGUUAAAAAACUGGAGCCAUCAUUUGUCCUCACUGUAGAUUCUGGAGAAGGUAGUCCGGAAGUUCCUGCUGAUAUGCACCACGGAUGAAGCAGCAAAAGCGUCAACAAAUAUUCCAACUGUUUCUGGUUCGUAAAUUUCGACCUGGAAUGUAAUAGAAAAAUAUAACUUUAUAUUUAGAAAACGAAAAUAAUUUGCCAACCUUUUCGCCUCCAUUAUGCCAUCUGCUAUCCCGACCGAUAAAGUAACAACUUCCUUUAUUAUUCCUAGGCCUGAAAAACAUUUUUACUACCAGGUUCUACACUAAUAAAAUUAAAAAUUGCAAAACAACUUCGACAAACAAAUUUAAAUUUUUCUUCACCCCGGCACUUGUGUCACUUGACUCAUAGGUAGCGACUCGAAAAGUCACGGCGCAUCGACUCUUGUCACUCAGUUGCGACUGCAAGA
Topomyia yanbarensis is the source of this 2507-nucleotide long non-coding RNA. RefSeq lists it as uncharacterized. Lineage: Eukaryota; Metazoa; Arthropoda; Insecta; Diptera; Culicidae. The transcript has 3 exons. The record is from RefSeq and is a predicted model, not a curated record.